This 488-nucleotide ribosomal RNA is filed under the name uncultured bacterium. RNAcentral's name for it is "bacterial SSU rRNA". It matches the Rfam family "Bacterial small subunit ribosomal RNA", at positions 8 to 518 of the family's 1533-position model. The record is from RNAcentral.
AGAGUUUGAUUAUGGCUCAGGACGAACGCUGGCGGCGUGCUUAACACAUGCAAGUCGAACGGGAGUAUCAAAGAAGCUUGCUUUUAAGAUACUUUAGUGGCGGACGGGUGAGUAACGCGUGAGGAGCUGUCCUAUGCAGGGGGACAACAGUUGGAAACGGCUGCUAAUACCCCAUAAGCCGAGAGGUAAAAGGAUUUAUCCGGCAAAGGAGGGCACUCGCGUCCUAUCAGCUAGUAGGUUGGGUAACGGCCGACCUAGGCGAAGACGGGUAGCCGGCCUGAGAGGGCGAACGGCCACACUGGAACUGAGAUACGGUCCAGACUCCUACGGGAGGCAGCAGUGGGGAAUAUUGGGCAAUGGGGGCAACCCUGACCCAGCGACGCCGCGUGGGUGAAGAAAUCCUUCGGGAUGUAAAGCCCUGUUGUAUGGGAAGAGUAGAAGACGGUACCAUACGAGGAAGCCCCGGCAAACUACGUGCCAGCCGCGGC